GGCCGACCGCCGGCGUAGAAACGGCAAUGUCAUCGUCUUUGUGGGAAUACUUGACUUCUUGGCACAGGUAUUUCUUUAGAGCUAAAAGGCCGACGACUGUGACGGAGUAAGUUGAUUAGGCCAUUAUUUUUCAUAAUCUAUAUCAUUGAUUCACUUUAUCUUCAAUUUACAAAUAUCUUUUUAACUAAAUUAAACACAUCUGAUCCUUACACUUAUCAUUUCUUAUGCCCUUGCUAUUACUGUAUCAGCUCCCAUUAUACAUAGUUCUCAUUCAAUCAUUCAUUAAUUUUCUUUUUGGUUCCUAGUGUAAUUUCUAGGUAAAGACUAGGUUACCAUCAGCACUCUACUCCUUCUUUGUGUUCUUACAUUUUACUGUUGUGCUGUGAAGUUUAUAAUAAUAAUAAUAAUAACAAUAAUAAUAAUAAUAAUAUUGCUAGAUUAAUUCACACUAUGCACAUUCCA
Amphimedon queenslandica is the source of this 462-nucleotide long non-coding RNA. RefSeq lists it as uncharacterized. Lineage: Eukaryota; Metazoa; Porifera; Demospongiae; Haplosclerida; Niphatidae. The transcript is spliced from 2 exons. The record is from RefSeq and is a predicted model, not a curated record.